RNAcentral lists this ribosomal RNA (1382 nucleotides) under Streptomyces limosus. RNAcentral's name for it is "bacterial SSU rRNA". It matches the Rfam family "Bacterial small subunit ribosomal RNA". Lineage: Bacteria; Bacillati; Actinomycetota; Actinomycetes; Kitasatosporales; Streptomycetaceae. The record is from RNAcentral.
GUCGAACGAUGAACCGCUUUCGGGCGGGGAUUAGUGGCGAACGGGUGAGUAACACGUGGGCAAUCUGCCCUGCACUCUGGGACAAGCCCUGGAAACGGGGUCUAAUACCGGAUAUGACUGUCCAUCGCAUGGUGGAUGGUGUAAAGCUCCGGCGGUGCAGGAUGAGCCCGCGGCCUAUCAGCUUGUUGGUGAGGUAGUGGCUCACCAAGGCGACGACGGGUAGCCGGCCUGAGAGGGCGACCGGCCACACUGGGACUGAGACACGGCCCAAACUCCUACGGGAGGCAGCAGUGGGGAAUAUUGCACAAUGGGCGAAAGCCUGAUGCAGCGACGCCGCGUGAGGGAUGACGGCCUUCGGGUUGUAAACCUCUUUCAGCAGGGAAGAAGCGAAAGUGACGGUACCUGCAGAAGAAGCGCCGGCUAACUACGUGCCAGCAGCCGCGGUAAUACGUAGGGCGCAAGCGUUGUCCGGAAUUAUUGGGCGUAAAGAGCUCGUAGGCGGCUUGUCACGUCGGUUGUGAAAGCCCGGGGCUUAACCCCGGGUCUGCAGUCGAUACGGGCAGGCUAGAGUUCGGUAGGGGAGAUCGGAAUUCCUGGUGUAGCGGUGAAAUGCGCAGAUAUCAGGAGGAACACCGGUGGCGAAGGCGGAUCUCUGGGCCGAUACUGACGCUGAGGAGCGAAAGCGUGGGGAGCGAACAGGAUUAGAUACCCUGGUAGUCCACGCCGUAAACGGUGGGCACUAGGUGUGGGCAACAUUCCACGUUGUCCGUGCCGCAGCUAACGCAUUAAGUGCCCCGCCUGGGGAGUACGGCCGCAAGGCUAAAACUCAAAGGAAUUGACGGGGGCCCGCACAAGCGGCGGAGCAUGUGGCUUAAUUCGACGCAACGCGAAGAACCUUACCAAGGCUUGACAUACACCGGAAACGUCUGGAGACAGGCGCCCCCUUGUGGUCGGUGUACAGGUGGUGCAUGGCUGUCGUCAGCUCGUGUCGUGAGAUGUUGGGUUAAGUCCCGCAACGAGCGCAACCCUUGUCCCGUGUUGCCAGCAGGCCCUUGUGGUGCUGGGGACUCACGGGAGACCGCCGGGGUCAACUCGGAGGAAGGUGGGGACGACGUCAAGUCAUCAUGCCCCUUAUGUCUUGGGCUGCACACGUGCUACAAUGGCCGGUACAAUGAGCUGCGAUACCGCGAGGUGGAGCGAAUCUCAAAAAGCCGGUCUCAGUUCGGAUUGGGGUCUGCAACUCGACCCCAUGAAGUCGGAGUCGCUAGUAAUCGCAGAUCAGCAUUGCUGCGGUGAAUACGUUCCCGGGCCUUGUACACACCGCCCGUCACGUCACGAAAGUCGGUAACACCCGAAGCCGGUGGCCCAACCCCUUGUGGGAG